This 503-nucleotide ribosomal RNA is filed under the name uncultured bacterium. RNAcentral's name for it is "bacterial SSU rRNA". It matches the Rfam family "Bacterial small subunit ribosomal RNA", at positions 19 to 518 of the family's 1533-position model. The record is from RNAcentral.
AUGGCUCAGGAUGAACGCUAGCGGCAGGCUAACACAUGCAAGUCGAGGGGCAGCGCGGAUAGCAAUAUCUGGCGGCGACCGGCGAAAGGGUGCGUAACGCGUGAGCAACUUGCCCGUAUCUGGGGGAUAAGCGGUGGAAACGCCGUCUAAUACCCCAUAACAACAGAGGCCGCAUGACCUUUGUUUGAAAGCUUCGGUGGAUACGGAUAGGCUCGCGAGACAUUAGCUAGUUGGUGAGGUAACGGCUCACCAAGGCUACGAUGUCUAGGGGUUCUGAGAGGAAGGUCCCCCACAUUGGAACUGAGACACGGUCCAAACUCCUACGGGAGGCAGCAGUGAGGAAUAUUGGUCAAUGGACGGAAGUCUGAACCAGCCAUGCCGCGUGCAAGGAUUAAGGCCCUAUGGGUCGUAAACUGCUUUUGUGGUGGAGCAAUAAGACGUACGUGUACGUCGAUGAGAGUACAUCACGAAUAAGCAUCGGCUAACUCCGUGCCAGCCGCCGC